RNAcentral lists this ribosomal RNA (440 nucleotides) under uncultured bacterium. RNAcentral describes it as "partial 16S ribosomal RNA". It matches the Rfam family "Bacterial small subunit ribosomal RNA", at positions 338 to 795 of the family's 1533-position model. The record is from RNAcentral.
CCUACGGGAGGCAGCAGUGGGGAAUAUUGGACAAUGGGGGCAACCCUUAUCCAGCGAAGCCGCGUGAGGGAAGAAGGUUUUCGGAUUGUAAACCUCUGUCAGUGGGGACGUUAAUUGCGGUAUCCACGGUGCAAGCCACGGCUAAUUCCGUGCCAGCAGCCGUGGUUAUACGUAGGUGGCAAGCGUUGUCCGGAAUUACUGGGUGUAAAGGGAGCGUAGGCGGGAUGUCAAGUCAGAAGUGAAAAUUAUGGGCUCAACUGAUAACCUGCUGUUGAAACUGAUAUUCUUGAGUGAAGUAGAGGCAAGCGGAAUUCCUAGUGUAGCGGUGAAAUGCGUAGAUAUUAGGAGGAACACCAGUGGCGAAGGCGGCUUGCUGGACUUUUACUGACGCUGAGGCUCGAAAGCGUGGGGAGCAAACAGGAUUAGAUACCCGGGUAGUC